AGCUCGGGGUUGCCUUUAAGGCUGAAGCAGUGGGGUAGGGAAAGCGUCUCCCCCCGGGGACCCGUUGCAGUAAUGUUCCCAAACACUUCAUCUUGUGUACAGUGCGUACUACAAGUGUUCCUACAGCGCUCAGGGCUGUUUUUGCAGCGCUGUUUAUAUAAGAGCUCGCGCACGGUGCCUACAUGCUUCUGGCACUUCCAACCCCAGGGUCGGUGGUGAAGGCUGCAGGCACCUGAGAGGGGAGCCACAGGGACCUGC
Molecule: long non-coding RNA, 258 nt
Filed under: Anas platyrhynchos (mallard)
Lineage: Eukaryota; Metazoa; Chordata; Aves; Anseriformes; Anatidae
Description: lncRNA (ENSAPLG00020003367.1)
Source: RNAcentral